CUGACAGCCGCGUAUUGUCGAGCUGGACACUCCAGAAGUAGAGAUAAGUAACAGUGCACUGCGUGCAGGGCUGCUGACAGUAACGACGUCCAUAAGGGGCCGCUGAAGGAAUUGUACAACGAUAAGUGUUUACGCAGCCUAUUAUGUUAAGGAGCAAUAAUGGCGAGAGUUAUUAAUCUGGCAGCUUUAUUAUGCCUUCCACGUCGACGAGGCGCUGCGGAACUGCGGACUACAAGGAGGUAAGGAAACGAAGACAGCGAUCUGUCGUUUGACGAGACUUCUAAUUCCACCCGUCACAUAACUCUGCGAAAGCACGAGCCACUGUUGGUAUUCAGUUCCAAGAGAUAAGACGGUGAUGAGACUAACAGCGCUGCAGUAAAUCAACAUGGUCACGUGCCUAGCUGGAGUAACGUCAACUGGAAGGUGGAGCCACAGUAACCUAGAAGGCGUGUGCAGCUUCUAGGCUGUACCCCGAAGACGCGGGACUAGAAGGCGGCGGAGCAGUCACCACUCCGCUGAGAUGGAACCCUGCAAAGAGUAACAAAAGAGAACUGUAAGGAAGGCGGCGCCAACACACGUUCUACUGGCAAUAUGAAAUCUACGCCAACCCAGGUGACAUUACACGGGCUGCUGCAAGUGGGUAGCACGCCGCUGAGACAGCACAAGAAAUCACCGUUUACAUCACCGCACGAAGCCGGUGCAGGCAGGUCUACAUCUGGAAAACAAGGCUACUACACGCCCCAACAAACUCAAAACCAUCUGCGUAACGGACAACAAAGAUUUGGUUAGCGACACAAAAUUAAACGUCAUUCUGUAAAUCGUCAUCAUCCUAUUCAGCGGGGGUUACUCCGGAACCGAUAGAGCUUACAGCUAACAGGCCCUUGUGCAGCAGAAUAAAAAGUAACUCGUUUAUACCUGGAGCUGUUUCCUACGACCAUUACUAUUGGCCUAUCUACAAUAUCACGGAAUAUGCUAUUAACCAUUCCAAUGCCAAUACCGAGGUAUCUCGUUUGGACACAACCACUACCACCACCACCACCACCCCAUGCAUUUAUACGUUUAAUACUCAUAUUUAACAGUGUCAGUGAAAAUGAACUUGCACUAUCCUUUUUAUAAUUUAUAAACAAGUGUUUGUGGAUUUUCGACAAUGAAAACUUUGAAUUGUCAUGAAAACGGACAAACAAAGGAACGCUAUAAUUUUUUUUAAAAGCGGGCACAGAAAUAUUACUACAUACGCGCCGCGACAAUUCUGUUUCUUUGUCGUGCUAUCAUGUUGUGACAACUUCUUCACGAAAUUUUCCCAAGACUCGUCCCAUAAGGAAAAUCCACUCAGCUCGAACGCCCCUGGCUUGUGAUCCCGAGGCAUACGGUUCGAAACUCGGCAGAAGCAAAAUCCUGGCAGGUGAGCAAGUUCCUUCUGAUCGUAUGCAGGAAGAGGAAUCUACGCACAACCCGAGCUGCUGCGCUAUGCGUUUCGCACAACAGCCUGACACUCCUGUAAACUAGGAUUCCGAGACGCUUAGAGCAGAGGCCUUCUCGACAACCUGCUAGCCUCUGAGAAAGUCAAGAAAGUACCCAUCUUUCAUGGGACUCAAAGGCUCAUUACCUUUUUCACAACAGCCCGCAACCAGACUAUCCUGAAUCACACCCUCACAAUGGACUUUCUUAAGAUCAGUUUUACUAAUAUCCUCCCAUCUGCGUGUAGAUCUCAAAACUGGUCUCCUCCCUUCAGCUUCGACAAAAACGUUGGACUCCCCAGUAACGACUGGAUAGGAAGCUAGGCAGACCUCAGGACCCAUCUGGACACAUUGAUGACGAGAGGACGAUCUCUGCUCCACCCCGUAGCAAACAAUGCAGCAGCUAAUGCCAUGUCUCUCUCUCUCUCUCUCUCUCAAGGAAAAAAGUUACUGCAUUCCAAAGCCAUGUACUCAGAAGUUCGCAUGUCUGCCGUGCUGGUAUUGUGGAUGACAGAAAGUAAAAAUGCAAAGAUGUUUGUCUUGCAGUUCAUAACAACUUUCACUAAAAUCAGUCUAUUAGUGUUUUAUACUACCAACGCCUGCAACAGAAAGAGGGAACACACAGCAUACGAAUUACGUUUUGCUAACAGCGCUCCUAACAGAAAAUAUUUUCCCUCAUUUCCUUCUUACGUGAUCCGAUAAAAAUAAUUAUUUCACAGUCGUAACAAACGAAGUUGUUCUGACAUCGGCAAAGGAGAAGGGUGUAUCAGGGUUACAGAGGCAGUUUCCGUUUUGUGUAAGCACCAUUUGUCAUUUAUGAGAUCAAAAAUGCAAUGACUCUUGCACACAGAGAGCGACGUAUAAAA
Zootermopsis nevadensis is the source of this 2323-nucleotide long non-coding RNA. RefSeq lists it as uncharacterized. The record is from RefSeq and is a predicted model, not a curated record. Lineage: Eukaryota; Metazoa; Arthropoda; Insecta; Blattodea; Termopsidae.